RNA transcript from Dreissena polymorpha, 8355 nucleotides. It is a transcript of the gene named nuclear pore complex protein Nup153-like, with no coding region annotated. The record is from RefSeq and is a predicted model, not a curated record. The transcript has 29 exons. NCBI's taxonomy places the organism in Eukaryota, Metazoa, Mollusca, Bivalvia, Myida, Dreissenidae.
ACAAUUGCCGCCAUCUUAGUUGUCGAAACUGCAUGUGGGAAAGAUUUUAACAUUUUUACGAAAUAAAUUAUUACUUGUAUAAGUCAGUAAUCGACAUUGCGCAUUUUUCAUCUGUAGAGAAGUGGGAAAAUGGAUAGACCAAGUUCCCACUCUCAAAAGGUUCCUUACGCACGCAAAGAAGGCCGGAAGUCACUCUUUUCUAAGAUGAAAGAUUCUGUGCGAGAUGUGCUGUCACCAUCUUGGUUGUCCGGUCUGGUUACAACUGUUAAAAAAGAAUCACCACCUAAUACAACAGCUGUAGAAACAAGUCAGCAGUUCACCACUAGUGAUGCUAGUUCCAUGUCAGUCCAACAGAACACCCCAUCUAUGCCGGCUGUAUUUCAAGGACAAACAAUGCUUAAUGGUCAACCAAGAACACUUGAUUUUAAUAAUCAAAGAGGAAGCCACUCCCCCUUCUCUCAAUCCAAUCUACCUCCGCCUAUGUCUGAGUUUACAUCUGCACAGUUGCCACUUAAUCGAUUUACUGAGAAAACGGACAGUAUUAUGGCACAAGAAGAUACGAUGUCUCAGAGGAGUGACUCUUCGAGGUCGACCAGUGGCUGCUCCUCCAUGGCCCCCCAGACUGAGAGUGGGGCGGGGCGUGAGAAGAGGAAGGUCAGCCUCGAUGGCAGUGACAGCGGCACCAGUCCACUGCAGCAGGGGGAACCAGCUAGCAAACGACAGAAAUUGCAAGUAAGCAUCAGUGCCCACCAGCCAUUCUCCAGGCGCCUCAGUGACACAUUCACCGCUGGGUCAGGCCACACAGUCGGGAGUGGGAGACCGGCAUUUAACACCAGGCUGUUUGCAUCACCCUUGAAUGAGACUUCUAUUCUGGGAACCAGUUUCCACGAGUCCAGUUUUUAUCCGGGGAAAACUACCUUUGGGGGUCGAUCAUCUCUGUCAUUCCGGAAGAAGAAAGUAGAUCUGAAUCAAUCACUGCCUAGCAGGCUGUCCGUGCCUGUGAAGGCGUUCAUGAAGGCCAGGCCCCGUGUGAACCCCAGCCAAGAGGCUGUGACCAGCUCCACCGCCAAGAGGAUCCUGGAGGCUCUUGACAAGAUGCCUACACCACUCAAUGAUGCUAGAAGAAUACCAAUGAUGAUGCCUAGACAGUGGACAGAGAGUCCUUCAUUCUUCUCAAGAGAUAGGACUUCCCCUCGCUCAGGGCCCCCCACACAGAAACUGAACAUCAGCUCCCAGGCAUCCAUUAGUAGGAACAGGCAGGUCACCUUCGCCUCCAGUGACACCAGCGUUCAGGACAAGACUGAGAGGGCCCCUGCCCGGCACCAGGACACAGUGAUUUUAGACCCACAGGGUGGCAAUGCGUCCGGUAAAAUGAAGAGGGAUAAAUCGUACCACAGGGGCAGUGCCUCGGUCAAGCCAGUGACACUGGACGAGGAGGAAACGGUAAUUAUCCCUGACCUGAAGACGGACUUCACUCUACCAGUGUCCUCUUUCUCAUUGCCCAAGUUUACCUUCGGCGGUCAGCAAUCAAAGGGCUCCAUCACAAUACCAGCUACUGGGCAGACCAAGUCAAACACUUCUAAUGCCACUUCUAAUGCCACUUCUUCUGCUAACAGCAUUUCCAUGGCUUCACCAGAAAAAACGAACAUGAAUUUCACGUUUUCCUCUCCCAUUGUUGAGACUGUACCUGUGAACAAACCAGAGUCUCCGGAAAAAAGGGCAUUUGGUGGAUUUCAGUUUAGCUCUCCUUUAAGUGUUGAUAAACCCGACAAGACUGUCAAUCCACAACAACCACCAUCAUCAGCCUUCAGCAGUGCUGCAGUAACUACGUCAACAACAUUUGGUAAACCUCAGUCGUCAUUCUCCACUCCUCCCAGCAUGGAGUUCAGCUUUGCAGCGGCUGCCAAACCCAAGACAAAACCAAAUGGCCCUUUUUCAGAAGACAGCGGGGUCAAUGGUAUUUUCGGUGCAGCCAGUGAGCUGAAACAAGGCAGUGUGAUGGACAUUUUAGGGGGCUUCUCAUCAUCAAAGCCUUCAUCUACUGGCAGUUCUCAAACUGCAAGUGAAAAGCCAUUUACUGCGACCCCGAUAUCUGUGCCAGGUAUUGGGUCAAAGUCUGACUUCGGUGAAAGUGUAGCCAGCAAAACUGCAGAAACAACAUCAGCCAGUGAAAAACAGUCAUCAUGGGGUGGCAGCUUUGGAAUUGUGCCUGGCAACUGGAUAUGUAAAAUAUGCCUCAUUCAAAACAAGAAAGAAGCUGAGACUUGCGGUGCCUGCCAGUCUUCUAGGCCCUCAGAUAAAGACUCCAACACUGCUGUCAAGGCAACAUCCCCACCAAGGACAGACAGUUUAUUUGCCAAGUUUAAGCCUGCAAGUGGUCAGUGGGAAUGCGAGGUGUGCUUACUACAGAAUAAACCAGAUGACACGAAAUGUGUAGCCUGUCAGACCUCAAAACCUCUGAAAGUCUUCAAGCAGCCAGCGGGUGACUGGACAUGUGACACAUGCCUCGUGGUCAACAAGGAGACUGCAGCCAACUGUGUGGCCUGUACCUAUGCACGACCUGGGCCUCCCAGGACACAGGCUGUACCAAGCUGUGCAAAAUCUUUCACGCUGUCACAGAACAGUGGUAGUAUACAGGCCAGCAGUACAGGUGGCUUCACAUUCAACAAACCUUCGGUCAGCGAGCCUGCGCAGUCAGGCUUCACAUUCAACAAGCCUGCGGCCAGCGAGCCUGCACAGUCAGGCUUCACAUUCAACAAGCCUGCGGCCAGCGAGCCUGUGAAGUCAGGCUUUACGUUUCAACAGCCAGCAACUGUGUCGGAUAAAACUGAACCUGAACUAAAAUCAGGUGGCUUCAAGUUUGAGUCGAGCUCAAGUGUGUCUUCUGUCACAGGUUCUGGAUUUAAAUUUGGUUCUGAUAUUGCUGUUAGUAAAGUGGAGGAAAAGUCUAACUUUGCAUCGUCAGGUGGCUUUAAGUUUGGUGCUGAGAAUUCAAAUCAAUCAACAAGUGUAAGUUCUGGAGGUUUUAAUGUAGGAAACACUGAGAAGAAAUCUGACAUUGCAGGCUCUAGUGUGAAAAUGGGGGGUUUCCAGUUUGGAAAGUCUUCUGAUUCAGGUUCAAAUAAGGAAAACAAACUUAGUGAAGGCACUGGUGGAUUUGUGUUCGGAAGUAAACAAGACACUAACAGUGCUGUGAAAGACCCUGUUCAGGCCAGUGUUUCAUUGACUUCAGGGUUUUCAGACACGGUUGUUCCAUUCACAAACAUUGAUUCCACAAAAACAAAUAGUUUUGGAAGUUUCACUGCAUCUACAACAUCUAAUUCAGCAUUACCUUCAAGUAGUUCUACCUUGGGAUUUUCCUUGAGUUCUAAAACCACUGCAGAAAGCUGUUCAGCAUCACAGGAAAACUCAAAGCCAGUGUUUGGAGGCUUCAACUUCACUCAAGCAAAGUCUGACCCCACUCUGGCCCUUGCCAAGACUGCAGGUCAGGGGAACUUCACCUUCCAAACCUCCAAGCCAACUGAUAACACAGACACUGGGGCCACUGCAACAAAGAGGAACAGAGAUGAUGAUGGGGGAGAGACCACCGCCAAGAAAUCAUUCAGUUUUGGUCAGGCCACCAAUGGACCCACACCAAACUCCCUGUUCCAGUUUGGAGCUACAUCCAGCACCUCAAGCAAUUCAACGGCUUCCACCCCAAGCCUUUUUGUGUUUGGUCAGAAAACUUCAGCAGCGUCCUCGAGUACUGUGACCACUGGACUGUUCACUUUUGGAGCAGCCAACAAAUCAACAUCAUCUGGUACACUUGGUGGAACAAGUAGUACUCCAUUUGCUUUUGGGUCAUCUGCAAUGAACUCAACGUCAGUUCCCACUGCUACCCCAUCAUUUGGGCUGACAAACAGUUCAACUGCUACCCCGUCAUUCGGACUUACAAACAGUUCUACUGUGCAGCCAUCAUUUGGGCAAACAAACAAUUCUACUGCCCAGCCAACAUUUGGGCAAACAAACAAUUCUAUUGCGCCACUGUCGUUCGGGCAGAAAAACAGUUCUACUGCACCUUUUUCAUUUGGGACGACCAGUAGUUCUACCACUGCCCCGUCAUUUGGACUGACAAAAAGUUUCACUGCUGCUGCACCGUCGUUUGGGAUGACCAAUAGUUCUGUAGGGAGCUCUUUGUUACCAUCGACAGGAACAUCAGCGGCUGCCACCUCGGGGCUAUUCCAGUUUGGUCAGGCCAAUAAGCCGGCCGUCACCAGCUCGCCAUUUGCAUUUGGAGUUACAAGCAAUGCACAGCCCAGCAAUCCUGCUCCAGUGUUUGGCAAUGGUCUCCCGUCAUCAUUUGAUUUUGGAGUACAGAACACCAACAAUGCCAUUAGUUCUUCCUCGGCCGUGUUCAAGUUUGGCGCCUCUCAACAGCAGGCCCCCGCAGUGACGCCCUCCUUUGCUUUCGGGGGUCAGAACCCAAGUGUUGGUUCAGUGUUUGGAGGUAAUGCCCCUUCUACAACGCCAGCCUUUGGAGCGACUCCCUCAGCUUUUGGAUCGGCUAAUCCUGCCGGCAGUGCUAACCCUCCAUCAGCAUUUGGAGACUACUACAGAAUGUUAGCUAACACAGGAAGUUACAACAAAGAAGUUACACAAAGUAGAAGUGACAUUGCUAAACCAAGCUUAAAUCUCAGAAAUAUUGUGGACACUAAAUGCUCUUCUAGUGGUCAUUUUGAAACGGAAGGGAACAGAUCUGUUGACGAUUUCUUUGGAACAUUGUCUGAAAGUCCUUCUGAAAAUUCAAUGUCUGGGAUGGCAGAUGAAGAUCAUUUAAGCUGUACAGACCGAAAAUUCCCCGUGGAAAUGCAUGAUGCUUCUUGUCAGACAUUGACAGAUCUCCCUUUAUAUAUUUCCACCAGGACCAAUCACAGUGGUGUUCUCAAUGAAACUCAUGAAGCAGUUACAACUGAACAUGAGGGGAAACCAAGGGAUACAAGAGAUGCCUCUAAUCAGACAGAUGAAAUUGAAUGCUGUGGACAAGAGUUAAGAUAUAAACCAAACAAUGGACAAAAUGGGCAUGACAUUGGGUGUGAAAUUGAAAGCGAGUCAAAAUAUAGAAAAAUUAUGCCAGAGUCAAAUGAAAUGGUUGGAAAGGAAAGCGAAUUUAAAAGUAGAACAACAGUUGUGCCAAAUCCAAACGAAGUAGCCAUACAAACACCUUUGUCAGCUGGUUUGGUGCUGAUCAUUUCUCCAAUGUCUGUAAUUCAGACAGGCACUGUGACUACUUCUGCUGUUUCAGUGGUACUAAAAUCACUGGACUCUCCAGUCUCAUUUUUAAAAGUUGCUGGUUUAGAAGUAAUUCCAUCUGUGCAACAGCUGUCAACCUUGGAUCAAGUUAAUUAUAGAAAUAUUUAUUCCACAAGCACCAUGCUGUCAGUUCCAUAUCUUUCUGCACCCAAAACUGUACCUGGAGAAAACAAUCCUUUGACAUUUCCUGAUCCAGGCAUUUUCUCCAAUCAAGUUUGUGGUACUCUGACAUCAAAUGAACUGAAAUGUGUGAACUCCCUUCAUGGACCUGUGUUUUCUCUACUUCCUCUGAAUUACUAUGCAAACAAAAGGCCUGCCACUUUAGCAGGUUCAGCAGCAUUUUCUGACGUGUCGGCAUCCAUUCCUCCAGCUCAUUUGUUCAGUGGCUUUAAUUACAGGUACUCAGAUCAACUGCCAAGUAUGUCAUACCUGCAGCCUUCAACACAUCCUUUGGGUACAGUUAAACAGUCAAACAAUUAUAUAGUCGGCACGAAUCAUGCCUCAGUUGCUACUCCUUGCAUUCCUCCAAUGCAUCAGGUUCUAUCUAACUCGUCCAUUCCUCCCAUCAAUAAUUUCUGUACUGUUAAUUCCCCUCUUUUCAAAACAAGUUUGCUAUCUGCAGUUUCACAGGACAUUACACCUGUUACUGUCAGACCAUUUGAAUGUAUUUCUCCUUCACAGCCAAUCCCUGUAUCACAUUUAGCUGUCCAGUCCAAUUUUGCCAGUGUGAUGUCAGUAUUUACAAACCCUCUUUCCAAUCCCUUUAAUGUUGUAGCACCAAAGACAUCCUGUUUGACAAGUGCUGUUUGUUCUAGACCUUUGUUUACAAACCCCAAACACCCAUUUGUUUCAAACCUUAGUUCUAUCAGGCACGAUAAUGUAGCAAAAAAUACCUCAAAUUUUGUUCCAAAGGUUUUUGGUCCAUCUUUGCCUAGUUAUAACCAUUCAAAGUCAAACAGUGCAAGAUUAAAUUGUCAAACAUUUCAACAGUCCAACAGCCCUCUUUUUAGUUGCAACCGCCCUGUGGUCAGUUUUGGGCCAUUUUCAAAGAGUGAUUCAUUAAGACAAAAUUAUUUUAUCCCACAGCAAAUGGGAACGGAUCCAUCAGUUUUGCAGCCACAUUGGCCUUUUUCUAAAAGCAGCAAUAUCCCACAAAACCAGAGUUCAGUGAUUGUUGGUACUAAAGCAUUUUCUAGUCCACAUUAUUGCUCAAACAAGAAAGUUUACAAUGGAAAAGUUUUUGGAUUGUCAAGCCCCUGUCAAAACUUCCAGACAGUUAUGCCCAUGACAAUUUUUCGUUUCCACUCUCCAACCCCAGUGAAAAUGUUGUGUUCUGGAGGAAUAUUUGAGGUUGGCAAACAGCCACCAGUAGACGAUAUUGUAAUGGAAGAUCCCUCAAUAGAUUGUGGUAAGGAUGUGGCAGGUGGUGCAGAGAAGUCAGUAGAAGAAUUCAUAAAAUUUGGAAAGAAAGUCACAUUCUCAACCCAGACUGAAAGAGAAUAUAAAACUGCACAAAAGUCUGUGCUGAAAACAAGGACCAAGGAAAUGGUUACUGCAUUUGGUUCCGCUUCGAUGGACUGUGAAGGCGAUGACCCUGAUGAGGUUUGUUCCAGCACAUCACAUCUGUCCCAGCCCAGGCCCAAUAAGGCUACCUCUGCAGUGUUUGGAGGUCAGAAAGAUUUUUGUGAUUUGGAGUCAGGUGUGGUCCUAGACAAAAAGUCAUUUUCAAGUAUUUCUACAUCAUUCAACUCAAUUGGUGCAGACAAAGUCGCAGCUUUGCCAAUAGGAAAUGCACUCUUGAAUGUUAUGAAAGAAACUACUGCAUGCAAGGGACAGUUAUUAGGAGGUUCUACACAACUGCCUGUGCAUGUUAUGCCACAGGCUCCUCUAGUGGUUUCAUGUGUAUCAUCCGAUGCCAACAGAGUUCAGUCAGGGGUGUUCAGAUUCACUGCAGUUCCUGUAACGACACAUUCAGUCAUCAAACUAACCUUGAUGCCUGAAAAAGUAAAUUCUACAGAGACAAAAAAGAAACCCAACACCUAUGUGUCUGCUUUUUGUGGUAAGCCAGAAUUGAAAAAGAAGAAUGCAGACAUUUCCAAAGAAUCAUUAACAGCGUUUUCUCAGGAACUGAUUACGCAAUCAUCUAGCAUGAAUUCUGCUCAUGCAACUGAACGCUCUUCUAGCUCUGUCUCAUCGUCAUCUAGUGCAACCUCUGACACAAGUGGAAGUUCAAGCAGCACAUCAUGCUCAUCGGACUCUGACAGUUACCAUAGCCUGCUGCAUUCGUCUUCUUCCACAGAGGACGCUGACGGAAUGGAUGUCGCGGCAGAUGUUUUCAUAAAAAGAGAUGACACCCCUUCGACGUUUGUUUCUGCGUUUUCAGGCAAAGGGAAUCGAUCUUGGAAUGCUUUGCCUUCUGCUGAGCGAGACUGUUUAGAAUUGCAUGAUAUUGUGCAUGUAGUUCAGGAACACAUGGUUCAGCUGAUAUCCAUUAAAUGUCAUGCUUAUGAAGUUGGAGAAGGGAUGUGUGACCAGGAAGGAUUAUGGGGAAUGUAUUGGCAUUCCACAUUGGACAACCUGGAAUUUUCAUCAUCAUUUGUUACCAGCCCUUGGAUCAUACAUUGGCCUUCUUUUCUUUUUGGAUUUGGUUCCAGUCAGCCAUCUGCCCCCAUCCAAUCCAACCCUGUGUUCCAGUUUGGAAAGUCUGCAGACAACGCGGCUGCCCCAGGGACCCAGUCUGGUUUCAUCUUUGGGGCCAAUCCAGCUGGCCUUGGUGCCACGCCUAGUUUCAACUUCUCCGCUCAGUCACCAGCGGCUGGAGCCUUCACUAUUGGUGCUGGUGGCACUUCAGACAGAAAAAUUAAGAAAGCGGUGCGGAAAAUCAGAAGAUGAUCCUAGCAGACUUUUAGGAACUGAUGUACAUAAAUGUUUAACACAUCAACAGGUCGGUAUGGAAUGCUCCAAUUACUUUGCAGAGGUCUACUUCUGGCUGCGUUUUAGACGAGGCCUCUUCGUCAUCUUUUACUCAAGUUUUACUCAAGUGCAAAAUCUGCAGACAACGCGGCU